This is a long non-coding RNA of Heterocephalus glaber (naked mole-rat), 358 nucleotides long. The record is from Ensembl. NCBI's taxonomy places the organism in Eukaryota, Metazoa, Chordata, Mammalia, Rodentia, Bathyergidae.
GGAGAAAAGGAGGAAGAGACCACCAUGAGCUACCAUUUAAGAUAUCGGCUUGGAGGCUCAUGAUCACAAAAUGGUUGCUGCAUCUCCAGAUAUUACAUCUAUAUUCAAGGCGGGAAAGAGACUGUUCCACCUGUGGAGACAACGCCUACAUCGUACAGGGCUUGGUGGAAAACAGAUCUCAGAGUAGCCAGAAUGUUGAGCGACCGGAAGGUUUCAAGGCGUCGUGCCCCCUCUGGUGGCCUUGCUGGAAACUGCAACACCAACAUCCACAGCACCCCCUGCCCCAGCCUGCUCCCCUGAACAAUGGAAAUUGACCUUGGGAACACACAGCUGAACUUUUAUUCCAGCUGAAUGAAAG